AAUCAACGCUGGCGGCGUGCCUAACACAUGCAAGUCGAACGCGAAAGGGGGCUUCGGCCCUGAGUAGAGUGGCAAACGGGUGAGUAACACGUGGGUGACCUGCCUUCGAGUGGGGGAUAACGUCCCGAAAGGGACGCUAAUACCGCAUGACAUCCUGCCUUUGGACAGGCGGAGAUCAAAGCUAGGGAUCGCAAGACCUGGCGCUUGAAGAGGGGCCCGCGCCUGAUUAGCAGUUGGCAGGGUAACGGCCUACCAAGGCAACGAUCAGUAGCCGGCCUGAGAGGGCGGACGGCCACACUGGGACUGAGACACGGCCCAGACUCCUACGGGAGGCAGCAGUGGGGAAUUGUUCGCAAUGGGCGCAAGCCUGACGACGCAACGCCGCGUGGAGGAUGAAGAUCUUCGGGUCGUAAACUCCUGUCGAGCGGGAAGAAUCCCUACCGGGUGAAUAGCC
RNAcentral lists this ribosomal RNA (454 nucleotides) under uncultured bacterium. Its description in RNAcentral is "bacterial SSU rRNA". It matches the Rfam family "Bacterial small subunit ribosomal RNA", at positions 29 to 469 of the family's 1533-position model. The record is from RNAcentral.